UACAGAGGGGGCAAGCGUUGUUCGGAAUUACUGGGCGUAAAGGGCGCGUAGGCGGCCUGUUAAGUCGGACGUGAAAUCCCUCGGCUCAACCGGGGAACUGCGUCCGAUACUGGCGGGCUUGAAUUCGGGAGAGGGAUGUGGAAUUCCAGGUGUAGCGGUGAAAUGCGUAGAUAUCUGGAGGAACACCGGUGGCGAAGGCGGCAUCCUGGACCGACAUUGACACUGAGGAGCGAAAGCCAGGGGAGCAAACGGG
This 253-nucleotide ribosomal RNA is filed under the name uncultured bacterium. RNAcentral's name for it is "partial 16S ribosomal RNA". It matches the Rfam family "Bacterial small subunit ribosomal RNA", at positions 524 to 776 of the family's 1533-position model. The record is from RNAcentral.